GGGGGAUAACUUGGGGAAACCCAAGCUAAUACCGCAUACGACCUACGGGUGAAAGGGGGCUUUUAGCUCUCACUAUUAGAUGAGCCUAAGUCGGAUUAGCUGGUUGGUGGGGUAAAGGCCUACCAAGGCGACGAUCUGUAGCUGGUCUGAGAGGAUGAUCAGCCACACUGGGACUGAGACACGGCCCAG
Molecule: ribosomal RNA, 189 nt
Filed under: uncultured Pseudomonadales bacterium
Lineage: Bacteria; Pseudomonadati; Pseudomonadota; Gammaproteobacteria; Pseudomonadales
Description: partial 16S ribosomal RNA
Rfam family: Bacterial small subunit ribosomal RNA
Source: RNAcentral